RNAcentral lists this ribosomal RNA (483 nucleotides) under uncultured bacterium. Its description in RNAcentral is "partial 16S ribosomal RNA". It matches the Rfam family "Bacterial small subunit ribosomal RNA", at positions 28 to 507 of the family's 1533-position model. The record is from RNAcentral.
GACGAACGCUGGCGGCGUGCUUAACACAUGCAAGUCGAACGCUGAAGCUCAGCUUUUGUUGGGUGGAUGAGUGGCGAACGGGUGAGUAACACGUGAGUAACCUGCCCCCUUCUUUGGGAUAACGCCCGGAAACGGGUGCUAAUACUGGAUAUUCACUGGUCUUCGCAUGGGGGUUGGUGGAAAGGGUUUUUCUGGUGGGGGAUGGGCUCGCGGCCUAUCAGCUUGUUGGUGGGGUGAUGGCCUACCAAGGCUUUGACGGGUAGCCGGCCUGAGAGGGUGACCGGUAACAUUGGGACUGAGAUACGGCCCAGACCCCUACGGGAGGCAGCAGUGGGGAAUAUUGCACAAUGGGCGCAAGCCUGAUGCAGCGACGCCGCGUGAGGGAUGGAGGCCUUCGGGUUGUGAACCUCUUUCGCUCAUGGUCAAGCCGCAACAAUGGUUGUGGUGAGGGUAGUGGGUAAAGAAGCGCCGGCUAACUACGUG